Eucalyptus grandis is the source of this 354-nucleotide long non-coding RNA. RefSeq lists it as uncharacterized. The transcript is spliced from 2 exons. Lineage: Eukaryota; Viridiplantae; Streptophyta; Magnoliopsida; Myrtales; Myrtaceae. The record is from RefSeq and is a predicted model, not a curated record.
GCAUCUAUAGAUUGUCCUUCUGUCAUUGUCUCAUCUUGCAUAUUCCUUGAGGAAAUGAUCUGAGAUUGCUGUCUGUGACAAGGAUGAUAGGUACAGCAAUCAUGGAAAUCAGGAUGGAUCUGGUGUGUGGCUGACUGAUGAGUGGAUCUAGUAGCUGGUGACUCGGUGCUUGAUGACUCAAGGAAAUGAAUACUCAUCAAAGACAACGUGCCUACUGAUGUAUACACGAUUAUUAGUUGGGACCAAACAUCGAUACCCUUUGUGCUGAGUGCUAUAACCCAAGAAGAUACAGGGAAGAGAUCGAGGAUCAAGUUUAUGACUUGCAUAUGGUCUUAAGCAAGGAUAGCAUGCACA